RNAcentral lists this ribosomal RNA (431 nucleotides) under uncultured bacterium. RNAcentral describes it as "bacterial SSU rRNA". It matches the Rfam family "Bacterial small subunit ribosomal RNA", at positions 958 to 1392 of the family's 1533-position model. The record is from RNAcentral.
AACGCGAAGAACCUUACCAGGGCUUGACAUCCUACUAACGAAGCAGAGAUGCAUUAGGUGCCCUUCGGGGAAAGUAGAGACAGGUGGUGCAUGGUUGUCGUCAGCUCGUGUCGUGAGAUGUUGGGUUAAGUCCCGCAACGAGCGCAACCCUUAUCGUUAGUUGCUACGCAAGAGCACUCUAGCGAGACUGCCGUUGACAAAACGGAGGAAGGUGGGGACGACGUCAAAUCAUCAUGCCCUUUAUGUCCUGGGCUACACACGUACUACAAUGGCGGUUAACAGAGGGAGGCAAACCCGCGAGGGGGGGCGAAACCCUAAAAACCGUCUCAGUUCAGAUCGCAGGCUGAAACCCGCCUGCGUGAAGGUGGAAUUGCUAGUAAUCGCGGAUCAGCAUGCCGCGGUGAAUACGUUCCCGGGUCUUGUACACACCG